RNAcentral lists this ribosomal RNA (240 nucleotides) under Planctomycetaceae bacterium. RNAcentral's name for it is "partial 16S ribosomal RNA". It matches the Rfam family "Bacterial small subunit ribosomal RNA", at positions 1300 to 1533 of the family's 1533-position model. Lineage: Bacteria; Pseudomonadati; Planctomycetota; Planctomycetia; Planctomycetales; Planctomycetaceae. The record is from RNAcentral.
GCAGGCUGCAACUCGCCUGCAUGAAGCCGGAAUCGCUAGUAAUCGCGGGUCAGCAUACCGCGGUGAAUGUGUUCCUGAGCCUUGUACACACCGCCCGUCAAGCCACGAAAGUGGGGGGCAUCCGAAGUCGCUGAGCUAACCCGCAAGGGAGGCAGGCGCCGAAGAUGAACUCCGUGAUUGGGACUAAGUCGUAACAAGGUAGCCGUAGGGGAACCUGCGGCUGGAUCACCUCCUUUCUAA